Molecule: ribosomal RNA, 486 nt
Filed under: uncultured bacterium
Lineage: Bacteria
Description: partial 16S ribosomal RNA
Rfam family: Bacterial small subunit ribosomal RNA
Source: RNAcentral
GACGAACGCUGGCGGCGUGCUUAACACAUGCAAGUCGAACGCUGAAGCCCUGGCUUUUGUUGGGUUGGAUGUGUGGCGAACGGGUGAGUAACACGUGAGUAACCUGCCCUCUUCUUUGGGAUAACCCCCGGAAACGGGCGCUUAUACUGGAUAUUCUCUUGUCUUCUCAUGGGGGUUGGUGGGUAGGUUUGUUUUGGUGGGGGCUGGGCUCGCGGCCUAUCAGCUUGGUGGUGGGGUGAUGCCAUGCCAUGGCCUUGACGGGUAGCAGACCUGGGAGGGUGACCUGUGAGAUUGGGAGUGGGAUACGGGCCAGAGACGUGCGGGAGGCAGCAGUGGGGAGUAUUGGACGAUAGGCGAAAGCAUGAUGCAGCGGCGCGGCGUGAGGGAUGGAGGCCUUGGGGGUGGGAACCUCUGUCGCUAAUGGUCAUGCCGCAAGUGGGGGUUGUGGUGAGGGUAGUGGGUAAAGAAGCGCCGGCUAACUACGUG